UCGGGAAUUUUGGGCAAUGGGCGAAAGCCUGACCCAGCAACGCCGCGUGAAGGAUGAAGUAUUUCGGUAUGUAAACUUCGAAAGAAUGGGAAGAAUAAAUGACGGUACCAUUUAUAAGCUCCGGCUAACUACGUGCCAGCAGCCGCGGUAAUACGUAGGGAGCAAGCGUUGUUCGGAUUUACUGGGCGUAAAGGGCGCGUAGGCGGCGCGGUAAGUCACUUGUGAAAUCUCUGAGCUUAACUCAGAACGGCCAAGUGAUACUGCAGUGCUAGAGUGCAGAAAGGGCAAUCGGAAUUCUUGGUGUAGCGGUGAAAUGCGUAGAUAUCAAGAGGAACACCUGAGGCGAAGGCGGGUUGCUAGGCUGACACUGACGCUGAGGCGCGAAAGCCAGGGGAGCGAAACGGGAUUAGACUACCCCGGUAGUCCUGGCCCUAAACGAUGAAUACUUGGUGUCUGGAGUCAUUAAUGCUCCGGGUGCCGUCGC
This 484-nucleotide ribosomal RNA is filed under the name uncultured Acidobacteriota bacterium. RNAcentral describes it as "bacterial SSU rRNA". It matches the Rfam family "Bacterial small subunit ribosomal RNA", at positions 355 to 852 of the family's 1533-position model. The record is from RNAcentral. Lineage: Bacteria; Pseudomonadati; Acidobacteriota.